UGGAUCCAGACUUUGAUCAUGGCUCAGGACGAACGCUGGCGGCGCGCCUAACACAUGCAAGUCGAACGAGCGAGAGAGAGUUUACUUUUUCGAGCGAGUGGCGAACGGGUGAGUAACGCGUGAGGAACCUGCCUCAAAGAGGGGGACAACAGUUGGAAACGACUGCUAAUACCGCAUAAGCCCACGGCUCGGCAUCGAGCAGAGGGAAAAGGAGCAAUCCGCUUUGAGAUGGCCUCGCAUCCGAUUAGCUAGUUGGUGAGGUAAUGGCCCACCAAGGCGACGAUCGGUAGCCGGACUGAGAGGUUGAACGGCCACAUUGGGACUGAGACACGGCCCAGACUCCUACGGGAGGCAGCAGUGGGGAAUAUUGCACAAUGGGGGAAACCCUGAUGCAGCGACGCCGCGUGGAGGAAGAAGGUCUUCGGAUUGUAAACUCCUGUUGUUGAGGAAGAUAAUGACGGUACUCAACAAGGAAGUGACGGCUAACUACGUGCCAGCAGCCGCGGUAAAACGUAGGUCACAAGCGUUGUCCGGAAUUACUGGGUGUAAAGGGAGCGCAGGCGGGAGGACAAGUUGGAAGUGAAAUCCAUGGGCUCAACCCAUGAACUGCUUUCAAAACUGUUUUUCUUGAGUAGUGCAGAGGUAGGCGGAAUUCCCGGUGUAGCGGUGGAAUGCGUAGAUAUCGGGAGGAACACCAGUGGCGAAGGCGGCCUACUGGGCACCAACUGACGCUGAGGCUCGAAAGUGUGGGUAGCAAACAGGAUUAGAUACCCUGGUAGUCCACACUGUAAACGAUGACUACUAGGUGUUGGAGGAUUGACCCCUUCAGUGCCG
Molecule: ribosomal RNA, 834 nt
Filed under: uncultured Bacillota bacterium
Lineage: Bacteria; Bacillati; Bacillota
Description: bacterial SSU rRNA
Rfam family: Bacterial small subunit ribosomal RNA
Source: RNAcentral